AUCACCUUUAGAUGCGAUUUUGUGGAGUGUGAGGAGCUAAUCGCCUUCAUGCCUGUAUAUUCGUGUACUUGGGGUGUACUUAUUCGUGUGGUAAGUUAACAUCAAUUUUGGUUAUCAUAAAAUGACUGGAGGAAUGUAGCUUCGAUUUCGUAUUGAAGUGUUAUAGCCUUCGGUAGAUGUGAUGAACGAGAUUGAGGAUUGCAACGGAUACCCUUCGGGGCUACCUGUCUGGUCUCUGAUCGUUGCUCUGGUGCCGAAAGCUUGCUUACGGUUAUCAAAGUCGAUGGUCAAUAGGUUAGAACGGGUUAAAUUCGUUAAGGAUGUUGACGUAAUGGCUUU
This 339-nucleotide ribosomal RNA is filed under the name uncultured Glomeromycotina. RNAcentral describes it as "eukaryotic LSU rRNA". The record is from RNAcentral. Lineage: Eukaryota; Fungi; Glomeromycota.